AUUGGGCAGCUGCUUCUACAUUGAUUAACCCUUUUCCAUAGUAGAAAGAGCUUCCAAGGUAUGUUGCAGUGCUUUCUAAACGAUCACGGACUUGCGCGUUUGUCCAAGUCGGGUGCUUAGAAAGAAUUAAAGCUGCUGCUCC
RNAcentral lists this non-coding RNA (142 nucleotides) under Bacillus subtilis. Lineage: Bacteria; Bacillati; Bacillota; Bacilli; Caryophanales; Bacillaceae. The record is from RNAcentral.